This 492-nucleotide ribosomal RNA is filed under the name uncultured bacterium. Its description in RNAcentral is "partial 16S ribosomal RNA". It matches the Rfam family "Bacterial small subunit ribosomal RNA", at positions 29 to 507 of the family's 1533-position model. The record is from RNAcentral.
AGUGAACGCUGGCGGUAGGCCUAACACAUGCAAGUCGAACGGCAGCACAGUAAGAGCUUGCUCUUACGGGUGGCGAGUGGCGGACGGGUGAGGAAUACAUCGGAAUCUACUUUUUCGUGGGGGAUAACGUAGGGAAACUUACGCUAAUACCGCAUACGACCUACGGGUGAAAGCAGGGGAUCGUCGGACCGUGCGAGAUUGAAGGAGCCGAUGUCGGAUUAGCUAGUUGGCGGGGUAAAGGCCCAGCAAGGCCACGAUACGUAGCUGGUCUGAGAGGAUGAUCCGCCACACUGGAACUGAGACUCGGUCCAGACUCCUACGGUAGGCCGCAGUCGGGACUAUUGCACAAUGGGCGCAAGCCUGAUCCAGCCCUAUCGCGUGGGUGAAGAAGGCCUUCGGCUUGUAAAGCCCUUUUGUUGGGAAAGAAAAGCAGCAGUUUAAUCCCCCGCUGUUCUGACGGUACCCAAAUAAUAAGCCCCGGCUAACUUCGUG